Molecule: ribosomal RNA, 457 nt
Filed under: uncultured bacterium
Lineage: Bacteria
Description: SSU rRNA
Rfam family: Bacterial small subunit ribosomal RNA
Source: RNAcentral
AGAACGAACGCUGGCGGCAGGCCUAACACAUGCAAGUCGAACGCCGUAGCAAUACGGAGUGGCAGACGGGUGAGUAACGCGUGGGAACAUACCCUUCGGUUCGGAAUAACUCAGGGAAACUUGAGCUAAUACCGGAUACGUCCGAGGUUUUAAUCGACCUUGGAGAAAGAUUUAUCGCCGGAGGAUUGGCCCGCGUCUGAUUAGCUUGUUGGUGAGGUAAUGGCUCACCAAGGCGACGAUCAGUAGCUGGUCUGAGAGGAUGAUCAGCCACAUUGGGACUGAGACACGGCCCAAACUCCUACGGGAGGCAGCAGUGGGGAAUAUUGGACAAUGGGCGAAAGCCUGAUCCAGCCAUGCCGCGUGAGUGAUGAAGGCCUUAGGGUUGUAAAGCUCUUUCGGCGGGAAGAUGAUGACGGUACCGCAGAAGAAGCCCGGCUAACUUCGCGCCAGCAGCCGC